RNAcentral lists this ribosomal RNA (294 nucleotides) under uncultured bacterium. Its description in RNAcentral is "partial 16S ribosomal RNA". It matches the Rfam family "Bacterial small subunit ribosomal RNA", at positions 775 to 1067 of the family's 1533-position model. The record is from RNAcentral.
GGAUUAGAUACCCUGGUAGUCCACGCCCUAAACGAUGUCAACUGGUUGUUGGGUCUUCACUGACUCAGUAACGAGGCUAACGCGUGAAGUUGACCGCCUGGGGAGUACGGCUGCAAGGUUGAAACUCAAAGGAAUUGACGGGGACCCGCACAAGCGGUGGAUGAUGUGGUUUAAUUCGAUGCAACGCGAAAAACCUUACCCACCUUUGACAUGUAUGGAAUCCUUUAGAGAUAGAGGAGUGCUCGAAAGAGAGCCAUAACACAGGUGCUGCAUGGCUGUCGUCAGCUCGCCGCU